CCUGGUUGAUUCUGCCAUUAGUCAUAUGCUUGUCUCAAAGAUUAAGCCAUGCAUGUCUAAGUAUAAGCAACUUUGUACUGUGAAACUGCGAAUGGCUCAUUAAAUCAGUUAUAGUUUAUUUGAUGGUUUUUGCUACAUGGAUAACUGUGGUAAUUCUAGAGCUAAUACAUGCAUUCAAGCCCCGACUUCUGGAAGGGGUGUAUUUAUUAGAUAAAAAUCAACUUUGUUGGUGAAUCAUAAUAACUUCUCGGACCGCAUGGCCUCGUGCUGGCGGUGCUUCAUUCAAAUAUCUGCCCUAUCAACUGUCGAUGGUAGGAUAGAGGCCUACCAUGGUUGCAACGGGUAACGGGGAAUAAGGGUUCGAUUCCGGAGAGGGAGCCUGAGAAACGGCUACCACAUCCAAGGAAGGCAGCAGGCGCGCAAAUUACCCAAUCCCAACACGGGGAGGUAGUGACAAUAUGUAACAAUAUACGGCCUUAUACGUCGUAUAAUUGGAAUGAGUACAAUUUAAAUCCCUUAACGAGGAACAAUUGGAGGGCAAGUCUGGUGCCAGCAGCCGCGGUAAUUCCAGCUCCAAUAGCGUAUAUUAAAGUUGUUGCAGUUAAAAAGCUCGUAGUUGGACCUUGGACCUGGACAGGCGGUCCGCCUCACGGCGAGUACUGUCUUGCUGGGUCUUUCCUCUUGGUGAUCUGUUGUUUCGGCAGCAGGGAACCAGGACCUUUACUUUGAAAAAAUUAGAGUGUUCAAAGCAGGCUCGACGCCGGAAUAUAUUAGCAUGGAAUAAUAAAAUAGGACGUGCGGUUCUAUUUUGUUGGUUUUUGGAAUCGCCGUAAUGAUUAAUAGGGACAGUCGGGGGCAUUAGUACUCACAUGCUAGAGGUGAAAUUCUUGGAUUUUGUGAAGACUAACUUCUGCGAAAGCAUUUGCCAAGGAUGUUU
This 937-nucleotide ribosomal RNA is filed under the name uncultured fungus. RNAcentral describes it as "SSU rRNA". It matches the Rfam family "Eukaryotic small subunit ribosomal RNA", at positions 1 to 969 of the family's 1831-position model. The record is from RNAcentral. Lineage: Eukaryota; Fungi.